CUACGGGACGCUCCAGUGGGGAAUCUUAGACAAUGGGCGCAAGCCUGAUCUAGCCAUGCCGCGUGAGUGACGAAGGCCUUAGGGUCGUAAAGCUCUUUCGCUGGGGAAGAUAAUGACGGUACCCAGUAAAGAAACCCCGGCUAACUCCGUGCCAGCAGCCGCGGUAAUACGGAGGGGGUUAGCGUUGUUCGGAAUUACUGGGCGUAAAGCGCGCGUAGGCGGAUCAGAAAGUUGGGGGUGAAAUCCCGGGGCCCAACCCCGGAACUGCCUUCAAGACUCCUGGUCUUGAGUUCGAGAGAGGUGAGUGGAAUUCCGAGUGUAGAGGUGAAAUUCGUAGAUAUUCGGAGGAACACCAGUGGCGAAGGCGGCUCACUGGCUCGAUACUGACGCUGAGGUGCGAAAGCGUGGGGAGCAAACAGGAUUAGAUACCCGAGUAGUC
RNAcentral lists this ribosomal RNA (439 nucleotides) under uncultured bacterium. RNAcentral's name for it is "partial 16S ribosomal RNA". It matches the Rfam family "Bacterial small subunit ribosomal RNA", at positions 339 to 795 of the family's 1533-position model. The record is from RNAcentral.